GAUGAACGCUGGCGGUGUGCCUAAUACAUGCAAGUCGAGCGAACAGACGAGGAGCUUACUCCUCUGACGUUAGCGGCGGACGGGUGAGUAACACGUGGAUAACCUACCUAUAAGACUGGGAUAACUUCGGGAAACCGGAGCUAAUACCGGAUAACAUGUUGAACCGCAUGGUUCAACAGUGAAAGACGGUCUUGCUGUCACUUAUAGAUGGAUCCGCGUCGCAUUAGCUAGUUGGUAAGGUAACGGCUUACCAAGGCAACGAUGCGUAGCCGACCUGAGAGGGUGAUCGGCCACACUGGAACUGAGACACGGUCCAGACUCCUACGGGAGGCAGCAGUAGGGAAUCUUCCGCAAUGGGCGAAAGCCUGACGGAGCAACGCCGCGUGAGUGAAGAAAGUCUUCGGAUCGUAAAACUCUGUUAUUAGGGAAGAACAAAUGUGUAAGUAACUAUGCACGUCUUGACGGUACCUAAUCAGAAAGCCACGGCUAACUACGUG
Molecule: ribosomal RNA, 497 nt
Filed under: uncultured bacterium
Lineage: Bacteria
Description: partial 16S ribosomal RNA
Rfam family: Bacterial small subunit ribosomal RNA
Source: RNAcentral